GCGGACGUGCCCGAGUGGUUAAAGGGUCUGACUCGAAAUCAGAUGGUGUCGGUCGCAUAGGUUCGAAUCCUGUCGUCCGCG
Gonium pectorale is the source of this 81-nucleotide transfer RNA. It matches the Rfam family "tRNA". Rfam says of the family: Transfer RNA (tRNA) molecules are approximately 80 nucleotides in length. Their secondary structure includes four short double-helical elements and three loops (D, anti-codon, and T loops). The record is from Rfam. NCBI's taxonomy places the organism in Eukaryota, Viridiplantae, Chlorophyta, Chlorophyceae, Chlamydomonadales, Volvocaceae.